Molecule: ribosomal RNA, 253 nt
Filed under: uncultured bacterium
Lineage: Bacteria
Description: partial 16S ribosomal RNA
Rfam family: Bacterial small subunit ribosomal RNA
Source: RNAcentral
UACGAAGGGGGCUAGCGUUGCUCGGAAUUACUGGGCGUAAAGCGCACGUAGGCGGCUUUCUAAGUCGGGGGUGAAAUCCUGGAGCUCAACUCCAGAACUGCCUUCGAUACUGGAGAGCUCGAGUCCGGGAGAGGUGAGUGGAACUGCGAGUGUAGAGGUGAAAUUCGUAGAUAUUCGCAAGAACACCAGUGGCGAAGGCGGCUCACUGGCCCAUAACUGACGCUGAGGCACGAAAGCGUGGGGAGCAAACAGG